UCCUAGGCAUUCACCAUAGACUCUUAUUACUUUGACCAUAUUUUUAUCUUCCAUCUCUAUUUUGCCAAUUUGUUUAUACAACAUAGAAUAAUAUAUAUCUUUGUUUAAUCCAUGUCAAUAUAUAUUUUAUUUUUUAUAUUAUUUGAAUAAAACAUUCAAAAACAUGAACAUCUAAAAACAUAAAAAAUAAAAUAUAAAAUCAAUGUUUAAAGUAUAAAACAAAACCCUGGCAACAACUUACUCUCCCGCGAACUCGCAG
This 259-nucleotide unclassified non-coding RNA is filed under the name uncultured Borreliella sp. RNAcentral's name for it is "partial 5S-23S ribosomal RNA intergenic spacer". The record is from RNAcentral. Lineage: Bacteria; Pseudomonadati; Spirochaetota; Spirochaetia; Spirochaetales; Borreliaceae.